This 324-nucleotide unclassified non-coding RNA is filed under the name uncultured fungus. RNAcentral describes it as "partial contains 5.8S ribosomal RNA and internal transcribed spacer 2". The stretch from base 1 to 133 matches the Rfam family "5.8S ribosomal RNA", at positions 22 to 154 of the family's 154-position model. Lineage: Eukaryota; Fungi. The record is from RNAcentral.
UGGCUCUCGCAUCGAUGAAGAACGCAGCGAAAUGCGAUAAGUAAUGUGAAUUGCAGAAUUCAGUGAAUCAUCGAAUCUUUGAACGCACAUUGCGCCCCUCGGUACUCCGUGGGGCAUGCCUGUUCGAGCGUCAUCUAAACCCCUCAAGCUCAUGCUUGGUGUUGGGCGUCUGUCCCGCCUCCGUGUUGUGGACUCGCCCCAAACUCAUUGGCAGCGGCCUCCGCCUCCUCUCGCGCAGCACAUUGCGCUUCUCGGGGUAUUGCGGUCCGCGUCCACGAAGCCCUUUAACUCUUUGACCUCGGAUCAGGUAGGGAUACCCGCUGA